Molecule: ribosomal RNA, 255 nt
Filed under: uncultured bacterium
Lineage: Bacteria
Description: partial 16S ribosomal RNA
Rfam family: Bacterial small subunit ribosomal RNA
Source: RNAcentral
UACGUAGGGUGCGAGCGUUUGUCCGGAAUUAUUGGGCGUAAAGGGCUCGUAGGCGGUUUGUUGCGUCGGGAGUGAAAACUCAGGGCUUAACCCUGAGCCUGCUUCCGAUACGGGCAGACUAGAGGUAUGCAGGGGAGAACGGAAUUCCGUGGUGUAGCGGUGAAAUGCGCAGAUAUCAGGAGGAACACCGGUGGCGAAGGCGGUUCUCUGGGCAUUACCUGACGCUGGAGGAGCGAAAGCGUGGGAGCGAACAGG